RNAcentral lists this ribosomal RNA (497 nucleotides) under uncultured bacterium. Its description in RNAcentral is "partial 16S ribosomal RNA". It matches the Rfam family "Bacterial small subunit ribosomal RNA", at positions 28 to 507 of the family's 1533-position model. The record is from RNAcentral.
GAUGAACGCUGGCGGCGUGCCUAAUACAUGCAAGUCGAGCGAACAGACGAGGAGCUUGCUCCUCUGACGUUAGCGGCGGACGGGUGAGUAACACGUGGAUAACCUACCUAUAAGACUGGGAUAACUUCGGAAAACCGGAGCUAGUACCGGAUAAUAUAUUGAACAACAUGGUUCAAUAGUCAAAGACGGUUUUGCUGUCACUUAUAGAUGUAUCCGCGCCGCAUUAGCUAGUUGGUAAGGUAACGGCUUACCAAGGCAAGGAUGGGUAGCCGACCGGAGAGGGGGAUCGGCCAAAUUGGAACUGAGACACGGCCCAGACUCCUACGGGAGGCAGCAGUAGGGAACCUUCGGCAAUGGGCGAAAGCCUGACGGAGCAACGCCGCGUGAGUGAUGAAGGUCUUCGGAUCGUAAAACUCUGUUAUUAGGGAAGAACAAAUGUGUAAGUAACUAUGCACGUCUUGACGGUACCUAAUCAGAAAGCCACGGCUAACUACGUG